UAAGUAGGUAGUGAAAUCGUGUGGCUCAACCAUGCUCACAUUAUCUAAACUGCAAAGCUAGAGGGCGAGAGAGGUUACUAGAAUUCCCUGUGUAGGAGUGAAAUCCGUAGAUAUAGGGAGGAAUACCGAUGGCGUAGGCAGGUAACUGGCUCGUCCCUGACACUAAGGCACGAAAGCGUGGGAGCGAACGGGAUUAGAUACCCCGGUAGUCCACGCCGUAAACGAUGGAUGCUA
This 234-nucleotide ribosomal RNA is filed under the name uncultured Candidatus Saccharibacteria bacterium. Its description in RNAcentral is "partial 16S ribosomal RNA". It matches the Rfam family "Bacterial small subunit ribosomal RNA", at positions 584 to 818 of the family's 1533-position model. The record is from RNAcentral. Lineage: Bacteria; Candidatus Saccharimonadota.